Molecule: ribosomal RNA, 468 nt
Filed under: uncultured bacterium
Lineage: Bacteria
Description: partial 16S ribosomal RNA
Rfam family: Bacterial small subunit ribosomal RNA
Source: RNAcentral
GACGAACGCUGGCGGCGUGCUUAACACAUGCAAGUCGAACGGAAAGGCCCUGCUUUUGUGGGGUGCUCGAGUGGCGAACGGGUGAGUAACACGUGAGUAACCUGCCCUUGACUUUGGGAUAACUUCAGGAAACUGGGGCUAAUACCGGAUAGGAGCUCCUGCUGCAUGAUGGGGGUUGGAAAGUUUCGGCGGUUGGGGAUGGACUCGCGGCUUAUCAGCUUGUUGGUGGGGUAGUGGCUUACCAAGGCUUUGACGGGUAGCCGGCCUGAGAGGGUGACCGGCCACAUUGGGACUGAGAUCCGCCCAAGCCUCCGAGGGGAGGCAGCGGGGGGGAUUUUUGAACAAUGGGCGGAAGCUUGAUGCAGCACCGCCGGGGGGGGGAUGACGGCCUUGGGUUUGUAACCCGCUUCCGCCUGUGACGAAGCGGGAGGGAGGGUAAGGGGUAAAGAGCCCCCGGCAAACUACGUC